UAGAAUUUAAGAUGAAAAAUCGGGUUACUGAUAAUCAAGAGACCAAAAAAUAAUAAUAAACUUAUUGAGAAUAAGAAUAAAGCAGUAAAGAAUUUGUAUUUCAGUAUGAUAUCAAUGAGCUUUUCGUGUCCUUACAAAUAAUGAGACUUCUUCCUUUUAUAGUUGAUUCUAGAUAAAGGAAUGAAACUUAGGCUUCAAUGAGACAAUUAUGAGUAAUAAAUAACAUUCAAUAAGACGUUACAUAAUCAUUCCUAUUAAAUACCAAUUUUCCGACGUAUCAGGUAUUUAAUACUGAAUUUGGACUACUUUUUGUCAUAAGAUCCAUGUCUUCAAUGCAUUGUAAUCUGCUGACUUUAAAUGACUUGAAUUGGUACGAGACUCGUGUCUGAAUUACUUCUCAUGUCUGUUUAACUUUCUUUUCUCGUAUCUGUCGCCACUCGUGCCUUUUAUUCAAUUGUUACGUUUUGACUUCUUGACUAGUCCAUGUAUCAUGCCACAACAUCUUUAACAUAAAUUUUGGUUUUUUUCCAAUACACUGCUGACCUUGUAUUUUAUGACCUAAAACCAUCAAAAUAACAAACCUUUUUACAAGGUCAUUUUAGAUUGAAACUAGUUUAACAAAAAAGAGAUAGGGAGGCUACCACAAUCAUGUAUUUGCUGCACUUUUAACUUCUGCCGUCUAUAAAAAAAAUGAAUUAAAAUAAAUGUAAACUAUUGUAUGAGGCUAGGGUUGUCCAGCAUCAGUUAUCACAUUGUACAUAUUGAUACAGGUAAAUAAAAUCAUUUAAUUACCAACAAAAAAAUGUAAACUACUAUACAUAAUAUAAACUCAAGAACAUGAUAUUAAGGAACUAAAUUCAAAUCUCUAACACCAAUAAUACAAAGAAGCAGAACUCUCAGAUCUUGUAAUUUCUAUUUGAAAGCUGGAAAAAUAAAUUACCUGAAACAGGGGAUUGGCGAAGAGGAGACUAAGUAGUGGCCAACGGAGUAACAGUGAAGGUUGGCGGAUCAGCGGCAGUCGGAACUCGGAAUAGAAUAAGAGCGGCAAUAGUCGGACUCGGAUGAGCAGCGGUAGUCGCCAGUCAGAACUCAGAAGUCAGAAGUGAAGUGAAUCCUAAAAUAAAAAAUCGAAUGUGAUGAAAUUAGGG
RNAcentral lists this long non-coding RNA (1148 nucleotides) under Nicotiana benthamiana. RNAcentral's name for it is "long non-coding RNA (NBEN_LNC029431)". The record is from RNAcentral. Lineage: Eukaryota; Viridiplantae; Streptophyta; Magnoliopsida; Solanales; Solanaceae.